This 541-nucleotide ribosomal RNA is filed under the name uncultured bacterium. Its description in RNAcentral is "bacterial SSU rRNA". It matches the Rfam family "Bacterial small subunit ribosomal RNA", at positions 777 to 1321 of the family's 1533-position model. The record is from RNAcentral.
AAUAGAUACCCCGGUAGUCCAUGCCGUAAACGUUGGGCACUAGGUGUGGGGUCCAUUCCACGGAUUCCGUGCCGCAGCUAACGCAUUAAGUGCCCCGCCUGGGGAGUACGGCCGCAAGGCUAAAACUCAAAGAAAUUGACGGGGGCCCGCACAAGCGGCGGAGCAUGCGGAUUAAUUCGAUGCAACGCGAAGAACCUUACCAAGGCUUGACAUACACCGGGAAAGUGCAGAGAUGUGCUCCCCGUAAGGUCGGUGUACAGGUGGUGCAUGGUUGUCGUCAGCUCGUGUCGUAAGAUGUUGGGUUAAGUCCCGCAACGAGCGCAACCCUGUCCCAUGUUGCCAGCGGGUUAUGCCGGGGACUCAUGGGAGACUGCCGGGGUCAACUCGGAGGAAGGUGGGGAUGACGUCAAAUCAUCAUGCCCCUUAUGUCUUGGGCUUCACGCAUGCUACAAUGGCCGGUACAAAGGGCUGCGAUACCGCGAGGUGGAGCGAAUCCCAAAAAGCCGGUCUCAGUUCGGAUUGGGUCUGCAACUCGACCCAU